Molecule: ribosomal RNA, 439 nt
Filed under: uncultured bacterium
Lineage: Bacteria
Description: partial 16S ribosomal RNA
Rfam family: Bacterial small subunit ribosomal RNA
Source: RNAcentral
CUACGGGGCGCAGCAGUGGGGAAUAUUGCACAAUGGAGGAAACUCUGAUGCAGCAACGCCGCGUGGAGGAUGACACUUUUCGGAGCGUAAACUCCUUUUAUAUAGGAAGAAGAUGACGGUACUAUAUGAAUAAGCGCCGGCUAACUCCGUGCCAGCAGCCGCGGUAAUACGGAGGGCGCAAGCGUUACUCGGAAUCACUGGGCGUAAAGAGCGUGUAGGCGGAUUAGAAAGUCAGAAGUGAAAUCCUAUAGCUUAACUAUAGAACUGCUUCUGAAACUCUUAAUCUAGAAUGUGGGAGAGGUAGAUGGAAUUUCUGGUGUAGGGGUAAAAUCCGUAGAGAUCGGAAGGAAUACCGAUUGCGAAGGCGAUCUACUAGAACAUUAUUGACGCUGAGACGCGAAAGCGUGGGGAGCAAACAGGAUUAGAUACCCCCGUAGUC